UCAACCUCAGAGCGAUGAGGAGGAACUUGAGCCUCCUUUGCCGCUAAGAGCUGAUGAUGAGUGGCAACACUACAGUCCUUAUCUUCCUCCUCAACACCACAGACACGACUAUGAGCCUCGUCAUACCAUGGAUGUUAGGUUUUAUGAUACUGCAGGAGAAAGGCAGAACAACUUUAAUCCCACCAACAGAUUCCCUCCUCAGCCAUAUUACUGUCCUGCUCCCCGGCAGCCCAUGAGACCCUACGAUGACCCCCACAACUGGCUCAGGAGUCGGGAUGACUUAAUGAACCCCAGCCUGGC
This is a non-coding RNA of Labrus bergylta (ballan wrasse), 300 nucleotides long. NCBI's taxonomy places the organism in Eukaryota, Metazoa, Chordata, Actinopteri, Labriformes, Labridae. The record is from RefSeq and is a predicted model, not a curated record.